Molecule: ribosomal RNA, 500 nt
Filed under: uncultured bacterium
Lineage: Bacteria
Description: partial 16S ribosomal RNA
Rfam family: Bacterial small subunit ribosomal RNA
Source: RNAcentral
AUUGAACGCUGGCGGCAUGCCUUACACAUGCAAGUCGAACGGCAGCACGGGAGCAAUCCUGGUGGCGAGUGGCGAACGGGUGAGUAAAGUAUCGGAACGUGCCCAGUCGUGGGGGAUAACGUAGCGAAAGUUACGCUAAUACCGCAUACGAUCUAUGGAUGAAAGCGGGGGAUCGCAAGACCUCGCGCGAUUGGAGCGGCGGAUAUCAGAUUAGGUAGUUGGUGGGGAAAAGGCUCACCAAGCCGACGAUCUGUAGCUGGUCUGAGAGGACGACCAGCCACACUGGGACUGAGACACGGCCCAGACUCCUACGGGAGGCAGCAGUGGGGAAUUUUGGACAAUGGGCGAAAGCCUGAUCCAGCCAUGCCGCGUGCAGGAUGAAGGCCUUCGGGUUGUAAACUGCUUUUGUAUGGAACGAAAAGGUUUGGCCUAAUAAGCUGAGCUCAUGACGGUACCGUAAGAAUAAGCACCGGCUAACUACGUGCCAGCCGCCGCGGUAA